GAGUUUGAUCAUGGCUCAGAACGAACGCUGGCGGCAUGCCUAACACAUGCAAGUCGAACGAGACCUUCGGGUCUAGUGGCGCACGGGUGCGUAACGCGUGGGAAUCUGCCCUUGGGUACGGAAUAACAGUGAGAAAUUACUGCUAAUACCGUAUGAUGUCUUCGGACCAAAGAUUUAUCGCCCAGGGAUGAGCCCGCGUUGGAUUAGCUAGUUGGUGGGGUAAAGGCCUACCAAGGCGACGAUCCAUAGCUGGUCUGAGAGGAUGAUCAGCCACACUGGGACUGAGACACGGCCCAGACUCCUACGGGAGGCAGCAGUGGGGAAUAUUGGACAAUGGGCGAAAGCCUGAUCCAGCAAUGCCGCGUGAGUGAAGAAGACCUUAGGGUUGUAAAGCUCUUUUACCCGGGAAGAUAAUGACUGUACCGGGAGAAUAAGCCCCGGCUAACUCCGUGCCAGCAGCCGCGGUAAUACG
RNAcentral lists this ribosomal RNA (472 nucleotides) under uncultured eubacterium WR8151. RNAcentral's name for it is "bacterial SSU rRNA". It matches the Rfam family "Bacterial small subunit ribosomal RNA", at positions 9 to 527 of the family's 1533-position model. The record is from RNAcentral.